CACGAAGAAGACUUUCCCUCAGCCUCUUUCUGUGUCAGCUCUCUGAGUGUUAGCAUGAAGCUCCUGAGAACAUUCUCUUUAUGGGACGAUUACACCUUAAAAUGAAGCCUGUUGAGACUGAGCCGCCCUGAAAAGGUAGCUGUGAUGGAUUUGAAAUCAAGCUGGAACAAGAGAUGAUCAAGUUUUCAUCUCAAGCAAAGGACUGUGGAUCCUCCCUGAGAUGUGAGAUGGACCACCAGAGAGCUGCAGGUGAUGUGAUCAGGUUGUAGAAUCUGCACAGCAAGACUGACGGAUGGAGGAGACACUGGAGGUUAACACUGAACAGAUGAAACCAAAGAAGGCGCGACAUGAAGUUUGGACUCAUCCAGUGAUGCCAUCAUCCUGUACAGAAACUAAGAGCCAUGUUUUGCUGUAAACAUGUUUUAAUAAAGUUCAAAGGAUGUUGUAUAAAAUUCAAGUAGUGUUUGUCAAUCUGCGUUGAAAAGUGAUCUGUAAGAUUUCUUCUUCAGACUGUCCAGAAAGAUCUGCUCCUCCUGGAGGUAUUCACGAUCCUGAGGAGAACAAGAGUUAGGAAGUAGACUGUCAGUGCAUGAAGUGUUGAUGUAUCUCAGCUGUGUGAAAGGACUUCUAAGCAACUUAAUAAAAGAGCUAAAGUCUCAACC
This is a long non-coding RNA of Notolabrus celidotus (New Zealand spotty), 662 nucleotides long. RefSeq lists it as uncharacterized. NCBI's taxonomy places the organism in Eukaryota, Metazoa, Chordata, Actinopteri, Labriformes, Labridae. The transcript is spliced from 5 exons. The record is from RefSeq and is a predicted model, not a curated record.